GACGAACGCUGGCGGCGUGCUUAACACAUGCAAGUCGAACGGAAAGGCCCUGCUUUUGUGGGGUUCUCGAGUGGCGAACGUGUGAGUAACACGUGAGUAACCUGCCCUUUACUUUGGGAUAACUUCAGGAAACUGGGGCUAAUACCGGAUAGGAGCUCCUGCUGCAUGGUGUGGUUUGGAAAGUUUCGGCGGUUGUGGAUGGACUCGCGGCUUAUCAGCUUGUUGUUGGGGUAGUGGCUUACCAAGGAUUUGACGGGUAGCCGGCCUGUGAGGGUUACAGGCGACAUUGGGACUGAGAUAGGGAGAAGAGUGCUACGGGAGGCAGCAGUGGGGAAUAUUGCAGAAUGGGAGGAAGGCUGAUGAAGAAACGAAGGGAGCGGGAAGAAGGCCUUCGGGUUGUAAAAGGCAUGCGCAUGUGACGAAGCGUGAGUGACGGUAAUGGGUAAAGAAGCACCGGCUAACUACGUG
This 468-nucleotide ribosomal RNA is filed under the name uncultured bacterium. Its description in RNAcentral is "partial 16S ribosomal RNA". It matches the Rfam family "Bacterial small subunit ribosomal RNA", at positions 28 to 507 of the family's 1533-position model. The record is from RNAcentral.